Molecule: microRNA, 21 nt
Filed under: Vitis vinifera (wine grape)
Lineage: Eukaryota; Viridiplantae; Streptophyta; Magnoliopsida; Vitales; Vitaceae
Description: vvi-miR3635-5p
Source: miRBase by way of RNAcentral
GGCAUGUGUGGGGCAUAAUAG